CGCGUGUUUAGUGCGGCUCUCGUCAAGGUGAGUCGAGACUUUCCGAGAGUAAAAGGGAGCAGAGUUACUAAUGGAGGUAUUCAGCCCCUUGAUCAAUCAGAGGAGGAGGAUUUUGUCAGCGGAAACAUCGCGGAAUGCUGAUUUAUUGACUCGCUCCGUCUCGGAAUAAAGAGGGGCUACAAUCUACGACUGUCUUUCAUUACGAAAGCAAGACAAGAAAUCUGUCUGCGCUCCAUAGGCGAUGUCUAGAGGAUUUAAUUUGGAUACCGACUGUGAGGUAAAAUACAACCUAGCAGGGCUGUUUUGGGCCAUCUGGCAGAAGCUCGGCCUCUUAAGCGGAACCUUUUGAGUGGAGUGAUAUCACAGGCUCGCGCGAGCUGUGUUUUAGCUCCGUUCUCCCGCCCGACGCGCUCUCAUUACAAGGAGAAAGGUGUAGCUACUUUUCCCUCCCCGCUCGUUUUAAUUAGGCUCGCCAGGCCCGAUUCUAGAGGCCGGUCUUGUGGACUUGAUCCCUUCAGAUCAGGUGGAGUGGAAAGAGUGAAGGCACUCUUCACAUUUGGACUGGUCGUCUCAGGUUUGCUCUGGUUGACACCUGUUGUUCCAGCCUGCCAGCAGCAGUGUCAGUGCGAGGCUUCGCUGAAUUAUCCAGGGCGAAGCACAUGCCAAGGUAAAUACUCACUAAUGACUGCGCUUCUGCCAAAAAACACUCUUUUCCGGCAGGAAGAGCCGAAUAUAUCAUGGAUUCUCCACUUUAUGAAUUAACUUUUAAAUUGCUCUGCCUGUUUUAAUAAGAAAAAUACAGGCGUUCCAUUAUCAGUGACGCUCUCGCAGUGUUUUUCCAUUCCUCAAAAACCAGAGAAAUAAUCCAAGAAGACCGCAAACAUCUCAAUGCGAGAAGUUUCUGUUUGCCCUUGCGGAGGUCAAGGCGCUGAAGGAUCAGCCUGUCAAAUCAGGCCAUCCACAUCAGCGAGACUUGCCGUGCCGUCACCCCGCCACCGCUUUGGGUGUCAGACUUACUUGCAUAAAUAUUUAAAAAGGGUCUUUUCACUAAUUAAAUGGUCUCUUUGUGAUAAACAAAACAUGCUGGAGAGGAUGUGAAAACUCUUUUAAAUUCCUGCAGAGUCGAAGGUCAGCUCUGCCUUACCAGUCGAGUUUUCUAGCAUCUCGUAAAGAAAACACACGCGGUCCUAGCAGCGCGGCUCCUUUUGCUUAAGGAUGAAAUAUUGCGCGAGCCACAGACUUGCAGAUGUUCUGGAGAAAGAAUCUCCUUCGUCUUCUGCUCUGUCAACAUGUCAGUGGCUUGACCUCUUUUUUAAGAGUGUCCCGUUGAGGGUUUAACCAGCGCGUUUUAACGAGGGCCGCUGACGGCACAAUCCGAGACACAUGUUCUCAAUGGAAAAUACGCUCCGCUCCGUGAGAAGCUUGACGGCUUGUAACUUUUUCCUUAAUAUCUUUUUUUUUCUUGACAACCAUCACUUCAUCUAAUCAUUACAUGCCUAAUGUCAUUUCAUGUGCUCUUUGGACUGUCAUAAUGUCCAGAUGUGUGAACUAUCUGAAGUUUGGCUUCAAAAGACCACGAAAAAGGAGCUGAGCAAAACUACACUAUCCUCAAAACAUAUUACUAAAGACCCCUUUUGAAACGAAUUUCACAAGCGCGACGGAAAUCUGAAGGAACUUCAAAGAAUGCCUUUCACAAACACAAAAAGACACCCCUCAGACACGUGAAGGCGGUUCUGAUUGUGACUCGGUGA
Long non-coding RNA from Puntigrus tetrazona (Sumatra barb), 1751 nucleotides. RefSeq lists it as uncharacterized. NCBI's taxonomy places the organism in Eukaryota, Metazoa, Chordata, Actinopteri, Cypriniformes, Cyprinidae. The transcript has 3 exons. The record is from RefSeq and is a predicted model, not a curated record.